AAAUGGAGAAAUUGGUAGGAAAUGGGAAUUUCAUCUCAUCUCCGUCCCCUCUUCGAAUAAGAAAUUGAAAAAAAAAAUUUCUAUCCCUUCCCUGAAUGAAAAUUUAAGUAUAAAAUUGAAUGAAAAUUUAAGUAUAAAAUUAUUCUUAUAUAUUCUUCGAAUGAAAAAAAUCUCUAAAAAUAUCCGACCGUGAGAAUUUUUGCCAUCCUUAGUGGGACUAGGCUGCUGCUUGGCACGGGAUGAGUAUUAUGGGCGGCCCGUAACAUGCAGCAACCUAUUUUACGUGGCGAAAUUCAAUUUGUUCUCUUUGUAACUUCACUAUUGUUACACGUUUUUCUUCCAAGUGCAUGCAUUUUUCCUGCUCUUGUCCAAUCACAUUAAUAGGUUUACAAAAUUGAGAUGAUGUGGCAAUAUCAACGAGUGCCACGUCAGAUGAGAUACAAAUUUUCUAUUCUAUAAUCCGUAUGCUUAGUAUUAUUCUCGGUAAAAUCCGAAUCCAUAAUUUGGAGAAGGGUGGUGUUUGGAGUAGGGAAAUAAUGGGAGAAAGAAACGAGGAAUUAGCUUCUUUUUUUUUUUCUAUCCACUCACUUUCUCUCUUUCUUUUUCUUUUUUAUUUCUCUUUAUACUUAAUAUUUUUCUUUAAAAAAUAUAAACAAGGAACUCUCAUAUGGCAAAUAAUUUAAGGAUAAUAUAUCAUUUUGCAAUCUUUAGAUAUUAUAAUAGACACUGCCUUAUUCUUUAUGAACAAUAAAUUCAUUUUAUACUAUAAAUAUGUAUUGUCCUUUAAUAUCUACUUUGUAAAUAUAGUACAACUCUGAGUCUCUGACUCCAGAUUAGAUAGCUAAUGCUUGCGGCAUAACUAAGAAAAUAUAUUGAAAAGUUCAAAAUGAUAUAGCAGGGGUUUUGAUAAUUCAAUAAUUUAGAUUUACUGUGGAACUAACUUUCACGCUGAUUUUAAAAAUAUAUAAUAAAUAGUUAUUAAAUAAAAAUAUAUAAUUAAUUAAAUUUAAAUUAUUUAUUAUUAUGAUCAUGUGCGUGACAGAAAAUUUAAAAAAUAUAAGUAUAAAUUAGCUCAAUACUAAAUUUAAACAUACCAAUGAAUAUUGGUUCUGGAAAUUCUUAUUUGUGAAUUAUUGAUACUACAAUGGUUCAUCACGGUGACUAUAUUUUUUUAUAUUUUCGGGUUUGGAUAAGCCUAUAAAGAGACAUGGCUCACGCCUGCAGCCUACCCUACCUUGUGUACACAAUAAUGACUCUUUAGGUGGACUGUCCUAAUCUUAAUCCUAAUGGUUUAUUGGUUUCGCAGUGCUUUCGCGUCAAUCCUCUUCCUCUCACGUGGCACACACGUGUUACAAUUGAGCGCUCUGAUUUUUGGACGACAAGUGUCAAAGUUAGGGCCCGUCUAAAUUCAAACUUUAUAAACCGUUCGUUUCAUAACCCUAUUAGCUGUUUAUUUUAUAAUGUUUUGUCAAAAUGAUGUCUGAUAAUUUUUUUAAAAAAAUUACUCAUUUCAUAAUUUAAUCUAUUUUGACAACAAUUUUUAAAAACGUAUCGAAGUUACUUUCUAUAAGUAAUUUAUUAAAUAAACCAUCAUAUCUUUAAAGUUCUUAUUAUAAUCUUUAUUAUUUUAACAAAAAAUUAUUGGUGUUUUAUUUUUUCAUACCAUAAUAAAUAAAUCAUUAUAUAUGAUAUUGCUGCCACAGUCAUAUUACACCAUAACUACACUAUACAUUCUUCCUAAUAUUAAAAUUUUUUCAUAACAACUUUUGUUUAUUUUCUAUCAUGAGCAUCGAUAAGACUUGUAUAUAAUUACAUAAAUUUUUGUUAAGACUAUGACAUUGCAUAAUAUAUAAAGAGGCAUGCACGAGGUGAUCUUCAUUCUGACAACAUUAAAAAUUAUCAUAGUUCAAUUUUUGAUGAAGAAAUAAAAAGAAACAGACACUUGAUAAAAGUAUCACAACACUGAUAGUUCUGGAUAACAAACAAUUAAAAUUUUGAGGAAUAUUAUUGCAAUAAGUUUUAUGUGAAUCAAAUAUAUUAUUUUGUUUUAUUUGAACAUAUGUAUUAGUAUGAAUUCUUAUAGUAUGUUAUUUAACAAAUGAUUAAGUUUGUUAUAUUUCACUUAAUUGAAUUUUUUCACUUUAUAUAAUUUUACGUGUUUUAAAAAAUAAAGAAAGCAUUUCUAAAUAAUUUUACUAAGUGUACUCUAAAAAAUUAAAAAAAAUUAAAUUUAAGUUUAUUUUGGACAUUUUAUAAUAAAAUAAUACUUUGAUAAUAAAAUAUAUUAAAUGCAUGUGCUAUGUUUUUCAAAUUCAUUGCAAUUGCAGCAAUAUAGUUUACCAAACACUAACUGCUUUUUAGUCAACAACUUAUUUCAUUCACAUAAAAAAACUUAUUUCGUUAGCCACUACAAUUCCAAACUGAUCUUUACAUAGUUGGUUGGCUAGUAAAACAAGAAGUUAAGUUAAGAUAAGAAAUUCAUAAAAUGAUGAAGCAAUUUAUCAUAGGAUUAAUACGAUUUACUGUUGAGAAUGUGACAUAUGAAUUUCUUAACAUAUAUCGAUUUUUUUUCAAUUUAAAUACAUUAAUGAUUCGUUGAUGAAUGUAAUUGACUUGUUAUAUGAAUGACGAGGUAUGUACCGAAGAAUUUCUUUAGACAAUGAAGGUAGUUUUCCACAAAAGAUUGCUAAUUCUAAGAUACUUGUAUUGAAUUAUAAACAUUUGACAUACUUCCACAUUCAAAUUUAUCCAAUCCACAAAAAUAAUGAAGUUCAAUUCAAUACAAUCCACGUUUCUAUAGAUCAAAUGCCGAUUUGACACACAUAUUAAUAUACUAUAUUUUGAAUUUAUUGUGAAUUACAAAUUUUGUUAAUCUUGAUCUAAUCGACAAAACAGUGAAAUACAAAAAAAAAAUGGAAAAAGAAAAAUCAAAUCUAAAAAAAUUUAAGGAAGCAACGAAACAAUAUUUGCAAUCAUAAUAAAAUACAAAGUUGAAGCACUCAAGAUCUGCUAAUUUGUAUAUACAUAGCAAAAUUGUUUUUUGAAUUCAAAGAAGCAUGAGUAUCGAGUAGGUACAGCUUGUUAGUUGAAUCGGAAAGCUUUAUCCAAACAUUUUAUAACUCGUUGGAUUGAUUAUACAUUUAAGUGAGUUUCCAUUGUAUUAGACGAUGAUUCAAUUGUACAAAGAGUGGAGCUAUUGGCACCCAUACAUUAUUCUUACAAAACCCCACUUUAAAUAAAAUUAUAAUUAAAGACACAUAUAGAUUUUU
This 3269-nucleotide long non-coding RNA is filed under the name Citrus x clementina. RNAcentral's name for it is "Citrus clementina (C. clementina) long non-coding RNA (CCLE_LNC005283)". Lineage: Eukaryota; Viridiplantae; Streptophyta; Magnoliopsida; Sapindales; Rutaceae. The record is from RNAcentral.